GACGAACGCUGGCGGCGUGCUUAACACAUGCAAGUCGAACGGAAAGGCCCUGCUUUUGUGGGGUGCUCGAGUGGCGAACGGGUGAGUAACACGUGUGUAACCUGCCCUUGACUUUGGGAUAACUUCAGGAAACUGGGGCUAAUACCGGAUAGGAGCUCCUGAUGCAUGGUGGGGGUUGGAAAGUUUCGGCGGUUGGGGAUGGAUUAGCGGCUUAUCAGCUUGUUGGUGUGGUAGUGGCUUACCAAGGCUUUGAAGGGUAGCCGGCCUGAGAGGGGGAACGGCCACAAUGGGACUGAGAUACGGCCCAGACGCCUACGGGAGGCAGCAGUGGGGAAUAUUGCACAAUGGGCGGAAGCGUGAUGCAGAAACGCCGCGUGCGGGAUGACGGCCUUCGGGUUGUAAACCGAUGUCGCCGGUGACGAAGCGUGAGUGACGGUAAUGGGUAAAGAAGCACCGGCUAACUACGUG
Molecule: ribosomal RNA, 468 nt
Filed under: uncultured bacterium
Lineage: Bacteria
Description: partial 16S ribosomal RNA
Rfam family: Bacterial small subunit ribosomal RNA
Source: RNAcentral